CAGUAGCCACGGUAAUACGGAGGGAGCUAGCGUUGUUCGGAAUUACUGGGCGUAAAGCGCGCGUAGGCGGUUACUCAAGUCAGAGGUGAAAGCCCGGGGCUCAACCCCGGAACUGCCUUUGAAACUAGGUGACUAGAAUCUUGGAGAGGUCAGUGGAAUUCCGAGUGUAGAGGUGAAAUUCGUAGAUAUUCGGAAGAACACCAGUGGCGAAGGCGACUGACUGGACAAGUAUUGACGCUGAUGUGCGAAAGCGUGGGGAGCAAACAGGAUUAGAUACCCCCGUAGUCCCUGUCUCUUAUAC
This 301-nucleotide ribosomal RNA is filed under the name uncultured bacterium. Its description in RNAcentral is "partial 16S ribosomal RNA". It matches the Rfam family "Bacterial small subunit ribosomal RNA", at positions 509 to 807 of the family's 1533-position model. The record is from RNAcentral.